UGAGCAGAGGGUUCCGGGUUUGGCUCUGGU
This 30-nucleotide non-coding RNA is filed under the name Homo sapiens (human). Lineage: Eukaryota; Metazoa; Chordata; Mammalia; Primates; Hominidae. The record is from RNAcentral.